Molecule: RNA transcript, 3770 nt
Organism: Arachis stenosperma
Lineage: Eukaryota; Viridiplantae; Streptophyta; Magnoliopsida; Fabales; Fabaceae
Exons: 12
Source: RefSeq, a predicted model, not a curated record
CAUUGAAUAUACAAAAAUUUAAGGAGCUUAAUCAGGUUCCGCUUAAGUCUGCACUGAAUCUUUUCCCUAUAUCUCCUUCGGAUUCAAAGGUUUCUGGAUAUACGUCAACCGCUGGUCAGCGCAAUCACCGAGUGCAGCAAGUUUGCUCCAUAUUUUCUAAUCACACCAUAUCUUUGCCUAUUUCACAGGUGAAUGAUGGGUUUGGAUGGAUAUUGGUUAGGGUUGCUGUUGAUGAUGAUGACUCUAUCAUCUACUGGGUCUGUUUGAUUCAAAAUUCUUCUGGGGUAGGAAAUGAAGUCUGUGUGGUGUCAACUGAUUCACAACAACGGCUUCAUAACAUUACUCUUUAGAAGGAAUGCUGGAAAAUAACGGUUAGGAUUAUCAGGAUGUGGAGUUUAUGUGAUUUUAGAGAGCAGACCGAGGAACUUGCUUUUCUUCCGCUAGUGGUGAUGGAUAAAUCAAUGUGAAGGCUCAGUACUUGGUACCUACCAUUUAUCCAUCUGCGGUUUCUUACGGGUACCAGGGUGCGGCGAGCAAGAAGAUUGAUAUCCCCAAUGGAAGGGUGGGUGUUAUUAUUGGCAAGGGUGGCGAGACCAUCAAGUACCUUAAGCUCCAAUCUGGGGCAAAAAUUCAGGUUACCCGGGACAUGGAAGCUGACCCCAAUUCGCCCACUGGGACAGUUGAGCUUACGGGCACUUCUAAAGCGAUUACUACUGCUCAACGAAGUUCUUGCUGAGGUCGAAUCUGGAGUUUCUGGAAUUGUUGUUAGGCGAGUAGCUGGACAAGCUGGUUCUGAUGAAUUUGUGAAGAUCCCAAAUAACAAGGUUGGCCUUAUGAACGGUAAAGGUGGGGAAACGAACAAGAAUAUGCAAGCUUCAACUGGUGCAAGAAUUCAGAGAUACCAUUCUACUGCCGCAACAUCUGAUUGAUUAGCGGCUACUGCAUGAAGAACCGCCGGUAAUCAGGAGCUCUAUAUCAAUUUUCAUUUAUUCAAUCUCUUUUUUAUCUUAUAACCAACACCCCCCCCUCCCAAACAUCUGCCGAAAUCCCAAAUCUCUGCUCCACCCUGCACCUCUGCGUGGUUGUGGAGUCGUGCGGCUGCCAUCCAUCCUUCUCUCCCCGGCAUCAACCUUUCGCCUCUCCUCCACAGUGCGUGAAAUUCCUGCUUCCUCCUCCGUGCGACUCUGUCGUCGUGGAGUCGAUCCCGUGGCUGCCCAUACAUCUUCCUCUCAUCGUCGUCGAAGUUUCCCCUCUCCUCAACCGUGGGUGAAAUCCUUACACCCUCCUCCACCGUGCGCGAAUCUCAGCUAUCGCGGCCUCUUCCCUGUCAUUGGUUCAUUCUUUCCCAUUGCUCUGUUUCUUGUUUUCAUUCUUGAUUUUGAUAUUGAUGUUGUUUUGAUUGGACUCGUGGUGUUUAGUUUUUGGAUUAUGUUAUUGCUUACUGUUUGUUAUUUUUAUUGGAUAUGGAUGGAGAGGGAGAGGGAGAGGGAGUGAGUGACUGAGCUGCUUUUUUCAGCUUUCAAAAUUCAGAACGUUUAAGCUUUGAUUUUUAGCUUGCUGUUGCUCAAAUCAAGAAGAAUCUCCAAAGAAAACUUCUCUUUUUGAAGCAAUAAAAAACUUAUGCAGCAGCAAGCAUAGUUUCUGAAGAUUGGAGCCAUUCAAGCAGUGGUAGAAGUGUUAAUUCCUCUAAGAUUGAUGCGUUAGUACUAGACAUUUAACUACAGCUACAAAAGCACCUAUGCUUCCUCCUUAUGUAUUUUUUUCUCUUUUUUUUGGAUAGAAUUUAGUUCAGAAAUACAACUUAUUCUCAAAUUUUAUGCCAUGUUGUACAAUCUCUGUGCGAUUUAUCUUAUGAUAGUUGUGUUACAUGCUUUCAUGAAUCAUGAUUAUUGCUACACAUAUGUUCUGUUCAUUUUAAUCGGUUUGGAAAAUUGGAAGAUAUGUGAACCCUCUUUUUUUGUAUUUAAUAAUUAGUGAUUUAGCCUAUUAUAAGGAGCAAACAAAGCCUCAUAAGAUGAUUUAUUAUUGUAAGAAGCUUCAGCCAUGUGAAGAAAUCUCCUAAUAAAUAAGAUAUAAGAUGUAUAAUGUCCAAAUGUCAAGGAGAGACUCAGAAUGCCUCUGGAGAACCAUGAAAUGGCAAUGUAGAAAUUGCUUUAGUAAAUUAUUCUUCAAAACUUAGUACUAUUUGGAAGAUUGGUAUUAUGAUUGGUUCAAAAUAAAUUUGACUCUAGUACUAAAGCUAUUACUGUGAUAAAUAUUACAUAGCAUCAUUAUAAACUCAUGAGUUCAGAAAGUUGAAGUCCUCAUAAGUUAUAUCAUAUACCCAAUUGGAUAGAUGAAUGAAUGCAAUAAUACCAAGCAAAGAAAUUAGGAAAGGAAUAAAAAUUAUGAUGCUUCAGGUUGAGCAUUCUACUAUAGGAAAAUUAUUCAUUACCAAACUCACAUAAAUACUUUAGAUUAUGUCUUAAAAUUAAUAUGCCUUCUACUAUAGUUGCUUGACAUUUUUCUCUUAGUCUUAGGUAACUCUCGAGUCAGGAAUUCAUGAUUUGGGGCCUUUGACCAAAAUUUUGGAAUACCCCAACUUUUUUAUUUAAGUCUUUAGGCUUCCUUGGGGAGCUAUGUGCCUUGUGCUUAGUUACAUGCUAUUGUUGCCAUAACUUUUGUCAUUGAUCCAAUUCUCUUUUACUUCUUCACUUACUUUCAUCACAAAAAAUUAGAAUAUGAGUUCAUUCUUUGAUGAACAGGCACAUGUUAUGGAACUCAUUUUUGAGUUAUGGUAAUCAUUUGAAAUUUUUUUAUACUGCAUUUUUUAUUGUUAAAAUAUGAUAAAUUUUUCGUGUCAAGUGGGAGAAAAGAAAGCACAUUAAGAAUGAAAUUUCACAUGAAUUUCACUGGUUAUCCUUCCUCACACAAUUUUGCAAACACUCUCCUGCAGCCAGUAAGUGUUCAUGUUGGGAAGAAUGCAUUUUUGUAAGUAUUGGUGUGAUUCAGGAAAAACAUUGAAACUUGUUAUAAUAUUAUUUUUUUGUGUAGCUUGCUCUUGAAUGUUUAGGACUGUUGAUCACCAGUGGGAUGGUGAACUUUUUGCCACAGCUGGCGCCCAAGCAGAUAUAUGGAAUCACAACAGAUCUGAGCCUAUAAACAGUUUUCAGUUGUGCAAGAUUUCAGAGGACUCGUAUGAUUCAUCCCAUGCUAGAACAUUUUAACAGGGGAGCCUUGGAGCAACGGUUGUGUGACCUCAAGGUCACGGGUUGCUGUGGAAACAGCCACUGAUAUAAUUAUUAGGAUGAUGAUGGUGACAAUGCUUUCCAUAUAGCAGCAGAGACAGCCAAAAUGAUAUGUGAAAAUCUUGACUGGCUCAUUGUUAUGCUAAGGAAUUCCGAUACUGAUAUUAAAGUCAGAAAUCACAGUAGCAAGACACUACGUGACAUCUUGGAGGCCCUUCCCCGAGAAUGUAUAUCUGAAGAUCUGAUGUAGGCGUAAAUCAAUAAUUAUUGUUCUAACUCUUAUUUCUAUGACUUAUUAGAUGUUGUAAUCUUUGCAUUCUGUUUAGGCGAGUUAAAUAGCGAUUUAAAUAUAAUAGAAGAGUAUGUUCUAAUUAAGAGUCUUUAGCUUACGACUUGAGGAAGUGAUGUAUUGCAUUAGAUGGUUGAUAAUUGAGGAGUUAGAUGUUUUCAACUCCUCUCUCCAUUUUGCUUUAUAUUGCAACUGUAACUAUUGCAACUCUACUAUUGUUUGAAAUAAAUGUGAUUUUAUUUUUUGUUUUAUGA